This 233-nucleotide ribosomal RNA is filed under the name uncultured bacterium. Its description in RNAcentral is "partial 16S ribosomal RNA". It matches the Rfam family "Bacterial small subunit ribosomal RNA", at positions 118 to 351 of the family's 1533-position model. The record is from RNAcentral.
UGAGUAACCUGCCCUCCACUCUGGGAUAAGCCUGGGAAACUGGGUCUAAUACCGGAUAUGACUCCUCAUCGCAUGGUGGGGGGUGGAAAGCUUUUUAUGGUUUUGGAUGGACUCGCGGCCUAUCAGCUUGUUGGUGAGGUAAUGGCUCACCAAGGCGACGACGGGUAGCCGGCCUGAGAGGGUGACCGGCCACACUGGGACUGAGACACGGCCCAGACUCCUACGGGAGGCAG